Molecule: long non-coding RNA, 693 nt
Filed under: Gallus gallus (chicken)
Lineage: Eukaryota; Metazoa; Chordata; Aves; Galliformes; Phasianidae
Description: lncRNA (ENSGALG00010020893.1)
Source: RNAcentral
CCAGUUUUGGGCCCCUCACUGCAAAAAAGACAUGGAGGCCCUGCAGCGUGUCCAGAGGAGGGCAACACAGCUGGUGAGGGCUCUGGAGCACAGACCUUAUGAGGAGCGGCUGAAGGAGCUGGGGUUGGUCAGUCUGGAGAAGAGGAGGCUCAGGGGAGGCCUUAUUGCUCUCUGUAACUGCCUGAAGGGAGGUUGUAGUGAGCUGCGGGUCGGCCUCUUCUCUCGGGUGACAGUGAUAGGACGAGAGGGAAUGGCUUCAAGCUGCGCCAGGGAAGGUUCAGGCUGGACGUUAGGAAAUACUACUGCUCUGAAAGGGUGGUCAGGCACUGCAAUGGGCUGCCCAGAGAGGUGGUGGAGUCACCCACCCUGGUGGUGUUCAAAGAGCGUUUGGAUGUUGUGUUGAGGGACGUGGUUUAGCGGGAACCAUUGGUGAAGGGCGGAUGGUUGGACUGGGUGUUCCUGUGGGUCUUUUCCAACCUUAGCGAUUCUAUGAUUCUAUGAUUUGCCUCUUGCAUGCCCUACAUCGACCCCAAAUGAGAAGAGGAAACGGUUUUCUCCAGCUGCUUCGCUCAGAGGCUGCAGCACCUCUGCUAUGGAGAAAGAAUCAUACAAUCAUGGAAUUACUCAGGUUGGAAAGGACCUCCGAGAUCAUCAGGUCCAAGCGCAGCCUAACCAUAGUCCCCUAACUCUAAC